RNAcentral lists this ribosomal RNA (317 nucleotides) under uncultured bacterium. Its description in RNAcentral is "bacterial SSU rRNA". It matches the Rfam family "Bacterial small subunit ribosomal RNA", at positions 28 to 334 of the family's 1533-position model. The record is from RNAcentral.
GAUGAACGCUGGCGGCGUGCCUAAUACAUGCAAGUCGAGCGAACGGAUAAGGAGCUUGCUCCUUUGAAGUUAGCGGCGGACGGGUGAGUAACACGUGGGUAACCUACCUAUAAGACUGGAAUAACUUCGGGAAACCGGAGCUAAUGCCGGAUAACAUUUGGAACCGCAUGGUUCUAAAGUAAAAGAUGGCUUUGCUAUCACUUAUAGAUGGACCCGCGCCGUAUUAGCUAGUUGGUAAGGUAGCGGCUUACCAAGGCAACGAUACGUAGCCGACCUGAGAGGGUGAACGGCCACAAGGGGACUGAGACACGGCCCUU